Gopherus evgoodei (Goodes thornscrub tortoise) is the source of this 596-nucleotide long non-coding RNA. RefSeq lists it as uncharacterized. The record is from RefSeq and is a predicted model, not a curated record. The transcript is spliced from 3 exons. NCBI's taxonomy places the organism in Eukaryota, Metazoa, Chordata, Testudines, Testudinidae.
UCCGACCUCUAGUGAGAAGCCCUGGGAGGUGUUGCUCAUUACAAGAACCCAGGAAAGGGCUAAGGAGAAAUACUCCACCUAGCUGCCUCCUUCCUACCACAGUCUAUCUUGUAGGAGUGUGUGCGGAUCACUAGGCCCAGAGUCAGGAGCCAGAGACCUGACAAGGGCUUGGAAUUAUUAUUUGGAUUUUGUUAUCCCAAAGGCAGUGGGAAUAAAUUGUGGCCGGGCUGGAAAGCCAAGUUGUGAGAAGAGGCUGACCACCGUGAGACCAGAAUGACCGUCAGCAAGGGGUGCAUGACAGAGUUGCUACGCUGCGCCUGGCCAGGAGGUCCUUAGCCUGCCCCUGGUUCACCAGCUGUCAAUUCCUUUGAAGCAGGAGGUGGAAAUAAUCCCACAAUGAGGAAUAGAGAGGAAUUAAAAUAUGCAGAAUCCUCGAUGCUGUGGGGAGGAAGAUGCAUGACCAGCAGGGAAUCCAAUGAGAUUCGCCUUGCAGAGAACAACAGUUUCAGGUCCAUGUUGAAGCCACUUACCCAGUGGGGCAUUUUCCCCGCUUGUGGAUCAUGAUGAUGAAACUGAAGAACCAGGACGGUUACCAC